RNAcentral lists this unclassified non-coding RNA (2177 nucleotides) under Hevea brasiliensis (rubber tree). Lineage: Eukaryota; Viridiplantae; Streptophyta; Magnoliopsida; Malpighiales; Euphorbiaceae. The record is from RNAcentral.
AAGGUCGGUAUCGGUGAUCCUCAUCCUUAUCUGCCACAUAAAAAACGUUCCUUUGAAUAUGCCCAUUGCAUAAUUAUAAGAAAAAGCCUGCAACUUCCUUCGAAGCCAAGCCACAAGAGAACUUUCUUUGUAUCAUCUCGCUAUCUCUGGCCUCUUUCCCUGCUUUAUCGGUAAAAACCCUUGUUUUUCUCUGUUCAAGGAAGAGAAAAGGCUCGGACUUUGAUCGAAUCUGAGUUUCGAUUCCCAAAAUGGCAUCUGGAUCGUCGGGUCGUGCCAACUCGGGCUCGAAGGGAUUCGAUUUUGGGUCCGAUGACAUUCUUUGCUCUUAUGAAGAUUACGGCAAUCAGGACUCUUCCAAUGGAACUCAUUCGGAUCCUGUGAUCGGUACUAAUUCCAGCAAGGAUUUUCACAAAAGUAGAAUGGCUAGGUCAUCUGUCUUCCCUGCCACUUCCUAUGGCCAGCCAGAAGAUUCUCUCAACAAAGAUAUUAUCUCUAUUUUUGAGAAAGGCAUGAAAAAACAUACCGAUAACCUAAUGCGCUUUCUUGAAGGGAUCAGCUCACGGAUGUCUCAAUUGGAAUUGUAUUGCUACAACCUUGACAAAUCAAUUGGAGAAAUGCGAUCUGAUUUAGUUCGUGACCAUGGAGAGGCAGAUACAAAGCUUAAAUCUCUAGAGAAACAUCUUCAAGAGGUGCACAGGUCUGUCCAGAUCCUGAGAGACAAACAAGAGCUUGCUGAGACUCAAAAAGAAUUAGCGAAGCUUCAACUUGUGCAGAAGGAGUCCUCUUCAUCAAGCCAUUCCCAAUCUGAGGAAAAAACUUCACCACCAGCCUCUGAAUCCAAGAAAGCCGACAACACACCUGAAAUACAUAACCAACAGUUGGCUCUUGCUUUGCCCCGCCAAGUAGUGCCACAGCAACAGCCUGCACCUGUGCCCCCACUGACCCAAGCACGACCUCAGAACGUGACCCAACAGCAAUCUUAUUAUUUGCCUCCAGCCCAAACCCAGCACCCUCAGAGCCAAUAUCUUGCUUCUGAUCCUCAAUAUCGAACACCCCAAAUGCAAGACAUCUCUAGGAUGGCUCCACAGCCAACACAGAAUCAAAUAAAUCAGACACCACAGGGCCAACAAUUUCCUCAGUAUCAGCAGCAGUGGCCCCAACAGUUACCACAGCAACAGUUACCACAGCAGGUACAAGCAUCGCAACAGUCUGCCAUACAGCCGCAGAUAAGGCCCUCAUCACCAUCAGUUUAUCCUACUUAUCCACCCCCAGGCCAACCGACGAAUUCAUCCCCACCAGAGACACUGCCAAACAGCAUGCCUAUGCAAGUGUCGUAUGCAGCGGUACCUCAACCCUUACCUAGUCGUGCUGAUGCCAUACCUUAUGGAUUUGGAGCCGGUAGAACUGUUCCUCAGCAAACCCCACCACAGCAAAUUAAGGGCACUUAUGGAGCACAACCUGGUGAUGGAUAUGCAACUGCUGGUCCCCAUUCCGCACUUCCCACAGGGAGUACAUACAUGAUUUAUGAUAGUGAAGGGGGAAGAACACAUCAACAACCUCACUUUCCACAGGCUGGAUAUUCACCGGCAAAUAUUGGUCUCCAAAAUCCUCUGCCAGCUACUGGCACAAAUAUGUUAGCUCGCAAUCCAAGCCAUUCACACUAUAUUCGCAACCAUCCCUAUAGUGAGUUGAUUGAGAAGACGGUAAACAUGGGUUUCAGAGGUGAUAUUGUUGUGAGUGUGAUACAGAGGAUGGAGGAGAGCGGUCAGCCUGUGGAUUUCAAUGCUGUGCUUGAUCGGUUGAAUGUGCAUUCUUCUGGAGGUCCUCAGAGGGGAUGGUCAGGGUGAUUUGGGUUUUAAACCUUCCAUUGUAGUAACGAUGAUGUUUAAGUUAGACUUGAAUUUGAAUAAAUGCUGUUAUGAUGCAGGAUCUCUUGGAGUAGUAUGUAUAUCAUGUAUCUUGAAGGGUCAUAUUUUGCUAAUUCCUCCUCUGUUGCUAGUGUUAUGGAUUUCUCCCUGUGAUUUUUUUAGGAGGGGAAAAAUCCAGUUGGAUUAUUAGGCCUUUUAAGGAUCAUAGAUUUGUGUGAAAUUUAGGCUUGCCAAGCAUGGCACUUAUGGUUCCUUUGAAUAAAGUUUCGCUUUCACGGUCCCUCUGCAUGGCCUUUUCUUGUUUGUGUC